This 468-nucleotide ribosomal RNA is filed under the name uncultured bacterium. RNAcentral's name for it is "partial 16S ribosomal RNA". It matches the Rfam family "Bacterial small subunit ribosomal RNA", at positions 28 to 507 of the family's 1533-position model. The record is from RNAcentral.
GACGAACGCUGGCGGCGUGCUUAACACAUGCCAGUCGAACGGAAAGGCCCUGCUUUUGUGGGGUGCUCGAGUGGCGAACGGGUGAGUAACACGUGAGUAACCUGCCCUUGACUUUGGGAUAACUUCAGGAAACUGGGGCUAAUACCGGAUAGGAGCUCCUGCUGCAUGGUGGGGGUUGGAAAGUUUCGGCGGUUGGGGAUGGACGCGCGGCUUAUCAGCUUGUUGGUGGGGUAGUGGCUUACCAAGGCCUUGACGGGUAGCCGGCCUGGGAGGGUGACCGGCCACAAUGGGACUGAGAUACGGCCCAGACUCCUACGGGAGGCAGCGGUGGGGAAUAUUGCACAAUGGGCGGAAGCCUGAUGCAGCAACGCCGCGUGCGGGAUGACGGCCUUCGGGUUGUAAACCGCUUUCGCCUGUGACGAAGCGUGAGUGACGGUAAUGGGUAAAGAAGCACCGGCUAACUACGUG